This is a long non-coding RNA of Sapajus apella (tufted capuchin), 1489 nucleotides long. RefSeq lists it as uncharacterized. The record is from RefSeq and is a predicted model, not a curated record. NCBI's taxonomy places the organism in Eukaryota, Metazoa, Chordata, Mammalia, Primates, Cebidae. The transcript has 5 exons.
CCUUCUCUUGCUUCCUCUUUCUUGCUGUGUGAUCUCUGCACAGGCCUGCUCCUGUUUGCUUUCUGUCGUGAAGGGAAGCAGCCUGAAACCCUCAUGAGAAGCAGAUGCAGGUGCCAUGCUUCUUGUACCGCCUGCAGAAUGUAAAGUCUGCUUUGGCUAACAGCACCAGAAAGAGGCCCUCUGAAGUCUUGGUCAGUGUAAUUAAAAGAUCAUGAGUAAUUCCACUGGCUGAAAGAAAAAGGAUGUUCAAGCAGCAUAUGAAAGCAGAACACCUGCCCCUACCUCCAGAUCCGGCAUUACAAGGACCUUGCAAGAUACCACAGCCACCAUUUUCAGACUGCUGGGUAAAAGCAAGUGGUUUCCUGAGAGCCUGUCCAUUUACAGCAAGAAGUUAAAGAAGGUUCUGAGAAGAAGCUAACAGCUGAGCGUGACUUCCAGAAGACAGUGUAGACUGGUUUCAGGGCUGCAGUCCGUGAAAGGCUCCGUGAGAUCCUGAACCCCUGGAGAAAUUAGACGGUCCAAGAAAACCUAACUGAUGCCAGAUGAGAAGUCUCUAUCUCUGCUCCAGACCAGAUCCCUGCUUAUUCAUUUUGAGAUUCCAAAUAAACAAGGUGCCGUAAUGAUCUGCACUGUAAGCAGCAGAAGAAUUGGAACAGAGAGAGGAGUGUGGCCUCCAUCUCACUCACUGUAACCAAUGAAGCUAGAAGAAAGCUCACACUUCUCCUGAGCAUGUGAGAGUGAAAAAGUAAGCUGAUCAUCUAGUUUGGAGGCAUGGAGAUCCUGCCUUCUGCUAAAACUGGUCAAAUGAAUGGCUGGUCCUUUGACCCAAAUAGCUCCAUAAACAAGGACCAAAAGCUUGCCUGUAAAAGACAGGUUGUUGGUCCCAGGUACGUGUCAGUGCUAGCCUGUUUGUAUUGCUAUAAAGGAAUACCUGAGGCUGAAUAAUUUGUAAAGAAAAGAGGUUUAUUUGGCUCCUUGUUCUGCAGACUGCACAGAAAGCAUGGCACCUGCAUCUGUCCCUCGUGAGGGCUUCAGGAAGCUUUUACUCAUGGUGGAAGGCAAAGGGGAACGGGUGUGUGCAGAGAUUAUAUGGCAAGAGAGGAAACAAGAGAGGGGAGGAAGGUGCCAGGCUCUUUUAAACAACCAGCUGUCGUAAGUACUGAUAGAGCGAGAACUCAUUCAUUACAUGAGAACUGCACCAAGCCUUUCAUGAGGGAUCUGCCCCCACAAGCCAAACACCUCCCAUCAGGCCCCCCUCCAAUACUGGGGACCAAAUCUCAAUAUGAGACUUGGUGGGGCCAAACAAAUCAUACCCAAACCACAGGAUUUUGCCCCUGGUCUUCCAAAUCUCAUGUUGUCUCACAUGGAAAAUACAAUCGUGCAUUCUACUAGUCCUUAAAAAUCUUAACUUCUUCUAGCAUCAACUCAAAAGUCCAAAGUGUAAGGUUUCAUCUGAAACUCAAGGCAAGCUUCUUAAGCUGUGAGCCUG